GCAGUGCGCGCUGAAGAGGCGCGCUGAUGACGGUUAAUGUUGCAGCCCGGAAGAUGACUUUUGUCUCCUCCUUGGGUUGCGGCAGGCGUUAGUGGGAGGUCGCGGCCCGCUGCUGUGAGCCCCAAGGCAGAGAGACGUCGCUGCGGUUUUGGGGUUGGCAUCCUGUCCUCUGUGCGCCCCUUUUUCCUGGGAUGAGCGGUUAGCGGAGGGGCGAUCGGCCCAUGACGCCCUCUGGUGGCGGAGGAGGCCAAACGCUGGAGGCUCGGCUGGUUUCUGGGCUCCCAGGUCCUGGAGGGGGUGCAGCUGGCGAGAGGGAACGAACUGCAUGGGCCAGGGUGGGUCUACUGCAGGGACAGAUAGGUGUCAAACCCCCCAAGACGGAUUUUAAUCUUUGGUUAAGUGAGAACGUGAACUCUAGAGGCAGCCUGCUGGGUUUGAAUCCUACCCACGUCACUUUGUAACUGUGAUCUUGGGCAAGUUACUCGACCUCUCUCUGCCUCAGUUUCAUCAAAUACAAAACAAGGAUAAUAACUGCACUUGGGCAGGGCACGGUGGCUCACGUCUAUAGUACCAGCACUUUGGGAGGCUGAGGCGGGCGGAUCACCUGAGGUCAGGAGUUGGAGACCAGCCUGGCCAACAUGGUGAAACCCUGUCCCUACUAAAAAUACAAAAAUUAACCAGGUGUGGUGGCACGCGCCUGCAAUCCCAGCUACUUGGGAGGCUGAGGCAGGAGAAUUGCUUGAGCCCGGGAGGCGGAGCUUGUGGUGAGCCGAGAUUGUGCCACCGUACUCCAGCCUGGGCAACAGAGCAAGACUCCAUCUUAAAAAAAAAAAAACAAAAAACAAAAAACCUGGACUAACUUCAGAACUACAGUAAGGAUAAAACGAGUUAAUACAUGUAAAGUGCUCAGACAUAACUAUUUAAGCCAGGGAGUGAUGCUCUCAGAUGUGUUGAGAAAGUAACAAUCUGGCUGCUGUGUGGGGAAGAACACAAAUGUUCCCCUGCCUGCCUCAUGCCACGUCCCUUUCUUCCUUUCCUUAUAUCUCUUCAAACCAUAGAACUUUUUUUUGUUUGAUUUUUGAGACGGAGUUUCGCUCUUGUUGCCCAGGCUGGAGUGCAAUGGCACGAUCUCAGGCUCACCGCAACCUCCACCUUCCGGGUUCAAGCGAUUCUCUUGCCUCAGCCUCCCGAGUAGUUGGGAUUACAGGCAUGCGCCACCACGUCCGGCUGAUUUUGGAUUUUUAGUAGAGACAGGGUUUCUCCAUGUUGGUCAGGCUGGUCUGGAACUCCCGACCUCAGGUGAUCCACCUGCCCGCGAGCCACCGCCCGGCCCAGAAUUCUUGCUUAGGAGGGAGUGCCCCAGGCUCUAGCAGAGUUUAUCUAAUUGGCCUAUCAGGCCCUGCAUAAUCCUGCCUCUUUCCAAUGGAACCCUUCACCUUGGGUCCCACCCUUAAGCCUUUUAUUUACUGCUAAUCAUUGAAUGUUCUACACAUGGGUAGGUCCCUUUGGUCUCAACCAGAAACACUUUCCUCAGGCCAUUUCUAAAAUAGUUUCCACCAUUAUUUCAGGAGUAUCCUGUUAGUUUCUUAGCACCCACCAUUUGCUUACUUGAUUUUUUUUUCUUUUUUGGUGAUACCCCACAGCACUGAACAAUAAGGGUAAGUAAGGGCCAUGUCUCUUUACUUUCAUUUCUCUGGCACAUAAUAUGUGGCCUGGCCCAUAGUAUUAAUAGAUACUGAAUGUAUUCACUGAAUAAAAAUGAUGCCUUAUAUUAUUGCUAAAUGUACUUCUAAAUGUACUUUUCUCCCUUAAUUGUAAAUUCCUAGAGGACAGAAUCCAUUAAAUAUUAGUUUUUGUUUUUGUUUUUCUUUGAGACAGAGUCUCGCUCGGUUGCCCAGGCUGGAGUGCAGUGGUGCGAUCUUGUCCCACUGCAACCUCCACCUCCCAGGUUCAAGCGAUUCUCCUGCCUCAGCCUCCCAAGUAGCUGGGAUUAUAGGUGCUCACCACCAUGCCUGGCUAAUUUUUAUAUUUUUAGUAGUGACAGGGUUUCACCAUGUUGGUCAGACUGGUCUUGAACUCCUGACCUCAAGUGAUCUGCCCACCUCGGCUUCCCAAAGUCCUGAGAUUACAGGCGUGAUUGACCGCACCCGGCCCAAAUAUUAAUUUUGAAGCUUUCUUACAUCCUAGGACAUUGCCAGAAUAGCUGCUGGCUCUCUUGAGUUGGAGUCAUCGUUCAUGGAUGCAUCCCCAGUGCCUGUGUGCUCAGUGGCACAUGAAAGGCACUGAAUAAGCAUUUGCUGAAUGAAUUAAUGAACACUUGAUUACCUGGGCCCAUCCAACUUUUCCCUUCAUCCUUCCAACAUAAACUUUUUCUGUCUGUGUAACAUUUGGUGGAAAACUUCCUGAAUCCCUUAGUACUAAAUGGAACACCCAGUCCAUUCAGUGUUGACAAUAAAACAAGUUAACACCCAUUGUGGAGGAGUGAUUGGGCCAGAGUCUUGUUCCUUAGUAAGUUCAUAUCUCACCACAAUGCAGAGCUCAAGAGAGGGCUGCUUUUCUCUCUACUCCAAAGGUGAACACAGACCCUUCCUCAUUAUCCCACAUCACUACUGAGACCAGAAUAACAUGUUGAAUGAAACCUGCUCGAAGGUUUGUGAGUAAGGAAAUAAUAUAAGGAGAAUAACUUAAAACAGGCCACUGGGUUUAGCUGCUUUCAGAGCCCAGAGGCCUCAACAUAUCCUCGGCCCAUGCUUUUUCACCAUCAAAACAACACACUUAGGCUCUUCAAAGUCCAACUCCCAGGGAACCCCACCUGGCAGAAGGAAGAUAUUUCAUUUCCUUUUAAAGCUCACAUUUCAAUAUCCCACCCUGCCCUAAAAUAUGCCUCUUUUUUGGGUGACUGACACUGGGAAUGUCUUCUCCCUUCUAAGGAUAUACACUCCAAAUUAAGGAGAAUGGCCUUUAUCCUCCAGUGUAUACUGAAGCUUGAAAUGUACUUGGCAUACAGUAGGCCUUGGAAGAAUUGACUGAGUCCCUCGAAUCACUUUGCUUCCCUGGUGCAGACGUUAAGACAAGUUACAUUAACAUCUUUUGUUCUAUGAUGGAAAUUAGCAAUGUAUGUUCCUCUUGGCUUUGACCCUUCCUUCUGCAUCUUCCUUUGCCUUAAUUUUUAAAGUGCAGCAGCAUGAGCACUUUAAAGUUUGGUGGCAUAGAAUUUUACUGGCUAUGUGAACAUUUAGUAAUUAAUCACUAGAACAAAGGAGAAACCCAAAUAUUUCGAUUUUGUUCAUCCACAACAUGUAGUAACAAUCAACUGGAACUACCUGGAAAUAUACGGGAACAGAAUGCUUUUGCAGGGUGCUUAAAAACACGAUAUAUGGGAUCUAUGGGAUCAGGCAGACCUGGGUUAGAAUCCUGACUCUGCCAUUUCUUUGCUUCAGUUCUUCAGAUUUGGACUCUUGAGCAAGGCACUUAACCACAGUGAGCCUCAUUUCCCCAUCUAAGACAUGAAGAUCAUGAUAGUAUCACUUUAUAAGGAUUGUUUAUAAGAGGGUUAAAGCACAGAUAACACAUGUAAAGACUGGUACUUAGCAAGCAUUUGGUAAAUAUUAGCUGCUAUUAUAUCACCCCAUAGGCUGAAAUGCUGCAUAUCACACUACAUGGGCAUUUUCAAGCAAUCUAAGAGGCACCCAGGAGUUGUCCAUUCAUCUUUAUUCCUUUAUUUAAUCCUCCCCAUGUAUUAUAUAAGCUUAGGUAUAUAACUUCUAUUACAUAAAGAAGUAG
This 3783-nucleotide long non-coding RNA is filed under the name Homo sapiens (human). Its description in RNAcentral is "non-protein coding lnc-DBX1-7:1". The record is from RNAcentral. Lineage: Eukaryota; Metazoa; Chordata; Mammalia; Primates; Hominidae.